RNAcentral lists this ribosomal RNA (174 nucleotides) under Triticum aestivum (bread wheat). RNAcentral describes it as "partial small subunit ribosomal RNA". The record is from RNAcentral. Lineage: Eukaryota; Viridiplantae; Streptophyta; Magnoliopsida; Poales; Poaceae.
AUGACUCAGGGUGGUCGCAGCCACGCUUGGUCUCUAGCUCGGCCACAAGCACGGCUGGCCCCUUGCGCUUCGUGUCCUUGGCCUUGGUCUUCUUGUCUUCUGGGUCACCAUCAGGGAGCUCGAGGAGGGAGAGGCAUCCCUCCUCAGCCCUUGCACAUUUGUUCACCAUGUUGA